UCCAUUAGUAGCAGCAUGUGGUGGACCGCC
This 30-nucleotide non-coding RNA is filed under the name Mus musculus (house mouse). Lineage: Eukaryota; Metazoa; Chordata; Mammalia; Rodentia; Muridae. The record is from RNAcentral.